GACGAACGCUGGCGGCGUGCUUAACACAUGCAAGUCGAACGGAAAGGCCCUGCUUUUGUGGGGUGCUCGAGCGGCGAACGGGUGAGUAACACGUGAGUAACCUGCCCUUGACUUUGGGAUAACUUCAGGAAACUGGGGCUAAUACCGGAUAGGAGCUCCUGCUGCAUGGUGGGGGUUGGAAAGUUUCGGCGGUUGGGGAUGGACUCGCGGCUUAUCAGCUUGUUGGUGGGGUAGUGGCUUACCAAGGCUUUGACGGGUAGCCGGCCUGAGAGGGUGACCGGCCACAUUGGGACUGAGAUACGGCCCAGACUCCUACGGGAGGCAGCAGUGGGGAAUAUUGCACAAUGGGCGGAAGCCUGAUGCAGCAACGCCGCGUGCGGGAUGACGGCCUUCGGGUUGUAAACCGCUUUCGCCUGUGACGAAGCGUGAGUGACGGUAAUGGGUAAAGAAGCACCGGCUAACUACGUGCCAGCAGCCGCGGUGAUACGUAGGGUGCGAGCGUUGUCCGGAUUUAUUGGGCGUAAAGGGCUCGUAGGUGGUUGAUCGCGUCGGAAGUGUAAUCUUGGGGCUUAACCCUGAGCGUGCUUUCGAUACGGGUUGACUUGAGGAAGGUAGGGGAGAAUGGAAUUCCUGGUGGAGCGGUGGAAUGCGCAGAUAUCAGGAGGAACACCAGUGGCGAAGGCGGUUCUCUGGGCCUUUCCUGACGCUGAGGAGCGAAAGCGUGGGGAGCGAACAGGCUUAGAUACCCUGGUAGUCCACGCUGUAAACGGUGGGUACUAGGUGUGGGGUCCAUUCCACGGGUUCCGUGUCGUAGCUAACGCUUUAAGUACCCCGCCUGGGGAGUACGGCCGCAAGGCUAAAACUCAAAGGAAUUGACGGGGCCCCGCACAAGCGGCGGAGCAUGCGGAUUAAUUCGAUGCAACGCGUAGAACCUUACCUGGGUUUGACAUGGAUCGGGAGUGCUCAGAGAUGGGUGUGCCUCUUUUGGGGUCGGUUCACAGGUGGUGCAUGGCUGUCGUCAGCUCGUGUCGUGAGAUGUUGGGUUAAGUCCCGCAACGAGCGCAACCCUUGUUCACUGUUGCCAGCACGUUAUGGUGGGGACUCAGUGGAGACCGCCGGGGUCAACUCGGAGGAAGGUGGGGAUGACGUCAAGUCAUCAUGCCCCUUAUGUCCAGGGCUUCACGCAUGCUACAAUGGCUGGUACAGAGAGUGGCGAGCCUGUGAGGGUGAGCGAAUCUCGGAAAGCCGGUCUCGGUUCGGAUUGGGGUCUGCAACUCGACCUCAUGAAGUCGGAGUCGCUAGUAAUCGCAGAUCAGCAACGCUGCGGUGAAUACGUUCCCGGG
RNAcentral lists this ribosomal RNA (1343 nucleotides) under uncultured bacterium. RNAcentral describes it as "16S ribosomal RNA". It matches the Rfam family "Bacterial small subunit ribosomal RNA", at positions 28 to 1378 of the family's 1533-position model. The record is from RNAcentral.